This is a long non-coding RNA of Alexandromys fortis (reed vole), 644 nucleotides long. RefSeq lists it as uncharacterized. The record is from RefSeq and is a predicted model, not a curated record. NCBI's taxonomy places the organism in Eukaryota, Metazoa, Chordata, Mammalia, Rodentia, Cricetidae. The transcript is spliced from 3 exons.
UGGGAGUGUCAUAUAUCAAUCUGUUGAUUUCAUUGGUUAAGUUAUAAUAAACCAGCUGCUUGGCCUCAUGGCUUGGAACAUAGAUGGGAGGAGUAAACAGAAUAGAAUUCUGGGCGGAAGAGGAAGUGAGGUCAGACUCUGCUCUGCUUCCGGGGAGAGAGCCGACAGCUCAGGAGCACAGACGCCAUGCUCAGCUCUCCCGGGUAGACGUGAUAGCUCUGCUCUCUGAGGCACACACGAUGAAGAUGGAUGUAGGCUAGAAUCUUCCCGAAAAUAGAAAUGCCGAGACCUCCCUCCAGUCACCCACUGAUGGACCACAACCCCUACAUACACCCCAAGCUACAGCAAUGUUGGCUUGGGGCUUUUCCUGGAACCUGGUGCUACCUGCUGUUGGUCAUUAGCAUCUCCUCAGCUCCCUGUCACCCCUUACACAAAGAGUCUGGAAUGUAAUACCCAGCAUCCAUCUUUGGAAGCCCCCUUUCCCUGGGAGUCGCCUUGGUCCGGACUCCACCUCCAGGAAAACCCACCAAGCAGUGACCCUCCCCCAGGAAGGGCCAAAAAGCCCGCCUAGCGGUGGACCACUCCCACAGGCUAUUUAGGCUGCCGCCCAAAAGAGGAACAGGUGGUCUCAGGUUUCGCGUGGU